AUCAGGUAGGAAUACCCGCUGAACUUAAGCAUAUCAAUAAGCGGAGGAAAAGAAACCAACAGGGAUUGCCCUAGUAACGGCGAGUGAAGCGGCAACAGCUCAAAUUUGAAAUCUGGCCUCGGCCCGAGUUGUAAUUUGCAGAGGAUGCUUCUGGCGCGGUGCCUUCCGAGUUCCCUGGAACGGGACGCCACAGAGGGUGAGAGCCCCGUAUGGUCGGACACCAAGCCUGUGUGAAGCUCCUUCGACGAGUCGAGUAGUUUGGGAAUGCUGCUCUAAAUGGGAGGUAAAUCUCUUCUAAAGCUAAAUACCGGCCAGAGACCGAUAGCGCACAAGUAGAGUGAUCGAAAGAUGAAAAGCACCUUGAAAAGGGGGUUAAAUAGUACGUGAAAUUGUUGAAAGGGAAGCACUUAUGACCAGACUUGGGCCGGGCGGCUCAUCAGGGGUUCUCCCCUGUGCACUCCGCCCGGCACAGGCCAGCAUCGGUUCUCGCGGGGGGAUAAGACCGUCAGGAACGUAGCACCCUCCGGGGUGUGUUAUAGCCUGGCGGACGAUACCCUCGCGGGG
This 564-nucleotide ribosomal RNA is filed under the name Hypocreales sp. Its description in RNAcentral is "partial large subunit ribosomal RNA". It matches the Rfam family "Eukaryotic large subunit ribosomal RNA", at positions 10 to 586 of the family's 3401-position model. Lineage: Eukaryota; Fungi; Ascomycota; Sordariomycetes; Hypocreales. The record is from RNAcentral.